ACAAGGAAGCCCAAGCUAGUACCUGCUCCAUGAACCACAGCCCCUGGAACCAAAGAGAGAUCAGCAGUACACUCCCUCCUCCUCCACCACCCCUCUCAGAGCCACAUACUGCACAGACAUGGCACAUCUGAAGCACUGCCAGCAGUUGUGGAGAGGACCUGUGUAAGGCCAGCUACAAUAGCUCCUGGAGUAAUAUCAUCCACUCCUGGACUGACGAGACCUAUUACAGUGGAAACUACACCAACCACCCCUACAAGUCAUGAUGCACCUCUAGAGACUGUCCUGGUGCCUGCGAUAGCAGACCGUGCACCAGCCCCUGCCUCUCUGCUAAUAAGUACACCAACUGUGCUGACACGGCCAAGCAGCCGGGGCUGCAGCAACAGUCAUGUCACCUCCUGGUGUCCUGUCUCCUGCAGGACUCAUCAGACGGUCUGAUCAGCCAGAGACAUGUUCUGACCAAUCAUCCUGAUAGACAACAACAAUCAUCCUGAUAGACAACAACAAUCAUCCUGAUAGACAACAAAAAUCAUACUGAUAGACAACAACAAUCAUCCUGAUAGACAACAACAAUCAUCCUGAUAGACAACAACAAUCAUCCUGAUAGACAACAACAAUCAUCCUGAUAGACAACAACAAUCAUCCUAAUAGACAACAACAAUCAUCCUGAUAGACAACAACAAUCAUCCUGAUAGACAACAACAAUCAUCCUGAUAGACAACAACAAUCUCCUAAUAAACCUGGUCAUGACUAAGGUGUCCUCCGUCCUGCAAUAAAUAAUCAUCCUUUGGUUAAGUUGUAAAAUGCAAUUAAGGGACAAUACUUACUCUUUCCCUUUCAGGUUUGUGGCUGCUUCUCUGCCAGUCGUAUAAUGAAAGCAAUUUCUAAACUGUUCUCAGGUGACGUAGGGCAAAGAACCUAUGGUAAAUUCUCCCCUGGCACCCAAUGAUCUUGGCAAAACCGUACGCACAGGGACAAAACUGAUGACUUCAUCUGAGGUGAGGGGGAGGGAUGAACCAACUGAUAAGAGGUCUACUUUUGGUAGGGUCCAACAAGGAAAAGUAAAACUUCACAUACAAUGGAGCCACCCCAACAGAGCCCAACGUCAGAAAGGAUGACCCCCGGGGGCCUCCCGGGUGGCGCAGUGGUUAAGGGCACUGUACUGCAGCGCCAGCUGUGCCACCAGAGACUCUGGGUUCGUGCCCAGGCUCU
Oncorhynchus kisutch (coho salmon) is the source of this 1209-nucleotide long non-coding RNA. RefSeq lists it as uncharacterized. The record is from RefSeq and is a predicted model, not a curated record. NCBI's taxonomy places the organism in Eukaryota, Metazoa, Chordata, Actinopteri, Salmoniformes, Salmonidae. The transcript is spliced from 4 exons.